UCAGGCCUAACACAUGCAAGUCGAACGGUAACAGGCCGCUGGGAUCCCUUCGGGGUGACUUGGCGCUGACGAGUGGCGGACGGGUGAGUAACGCGUAGGAAUCUGCCCUGUAGCGGGGGAUAGCCCGGGGAAACCCGGAUUAAUACCGCAUACGCUCUACGGAGGAAAGCGGGCCUCUUCUUGAAAGCUCGCACUACAGGAUGAGCCUACGUCCGAUUAGCUAGUUGGUAAGGUAAAAGCUUACCAAGGCGACGAUCGGUAGCUGGUCUGAGAGGACGAUCAGCCACACUGGGACUGAGACACGGCCCAGACUCCUACGGGAGGCAGCAGUGGGGAAUAUUGGACAAUGGGCGAAAGCCUGAUCCAGCAAUGCCGCGUGUGUGAAGAAGGCCUGCGGGUUGUAAAGCACUUUUAUGAAGGAAGAAACGGCCUGGGUUAAUAACCCAUGGCAAUGACGUACUG
This 462-nucleotide ribosomal RNA is filed under the name uncultured bacterium. RNAcentral describes it as "bacterial SSU rRNA". It matches the Rfam family "Bacterial small subunit ribosomal RNA", at positions 42 to 480 of the family's 1533-position model. The record is from RNAcentral.